This 478-nucleotide ribosomal RNA is filed under the name uncultured bacterium. RNAcentral's name for it is "partial 16S ribosomal RNA". It matches the Rfam family "Bacterial small subunit ribosomal RNA", at positions 28 to 523 of the family's 1533-position model. The record is from RNAcentral.
GACGAACGCUGGCGGCGUGCUUAACACAUGCAAGUCGAACAGUAAGGCCCUUCGGGGUACACGAGUGGCGAACGGGUGAGUAACACGUGGGUGAUCUGCCCUGCGCUUCAGGAUAAGCCUGGGAAACUGGGUCUAAUACCGGAUAGGACCACUGCCUGCAUGGGUGGUGGUGGAAAGCUUUUGCGGUGUGGGAUGGGCCCGCGGCCUAUCAGCUUGUUGGUGGGGUGAUGGCCUACCAAGGCGACGACGGGUAGCCGGCCUGAGAGGGUGACCGGCCACACUGGGACUGAGAUACGGCCCAGACUCCUACGGGAGGCAGCAGUGGGGAAUAUUGCACAAUGGGCGCAAGCCUGAUGCAGCGACGCCGCGUGAGGGAUGACGGCCUUCGGGUUGUAAACCUCUUUCAGCACCGACGAAGCGCAAGUGACGGUAGGUGCAGAAGAAGGACCGGCCAACUACGUGCCAGCCGCCGCCGUAA